This is a non-coding RNA of Xylaria intraflava, 110 nucleotides long. The record is from the annotation of a GenBank genome assembly. NCBI's taxonomy places the organism in Eukaryota, Fungi, Ascomycota, Sordariomycetes, Xylariales, Xylariaceae.
UCUCGAUUGGUCUAGUGGCAAGGAUACCUGCUUGUCAAUCGUUCGGAUUCAAAGCAUCUGAUUCGAUGAACAAGCCGCAGGUGGCCGGGGUUCGAUUCCCCGAUCGAGAG